GUGAAAGUGAGUAGGCUGAAGACUAAGGUAAAUCCGGGUUUUCAAGGCCGAGACACGAGACGAGCUCCCAAGGGAGUGAAGUUGUUGAUGCCCUGCUUCCAGGAAAAGCUUCUAAACUUAUGAUUAUAUGAACCGUACCCCAAACCGACACAGGUGGUCAGGUAGAGAAUACUAAGGCGCUUGAGAGAACUCGGGUGAAGGAACUCGGCAAAAUUGUACCGUAACUUCGGGAGAAGGUACGCCUCUGUUUGUGAACACCUCGCGUGGUAAGCAAAUGGAGGCCGCAGUGACCAGGUGGCUGGGACUGUUUAUUAAAAACACAGCACUCUGCAAACUCGUAAGAGGACGUAUAGGGUGUGACACCUGCCCGGUGCCGGAAGGUUAAUUGAUGGGGUUAGUUUUCUUAACGAAGCUCUUGAUCGAAGCCCCGGUAAACGGCGGCCGUAACUAUAACGGUCCUAAGGUAGCGAAAUUCCUUGUCGGGUAAGUUCCGACCUGCACGAAUGGUGUAACCAUGGCCACGCUGUCUCCACCCGAGACUCAGUGAAAUUGAAAUCGCAGUGAAGAUGCUGUGUACCCGCACCUAGACGGAAAGACCCCGUGAACCUUUACUACAGCUUGGCACUGAACAUUGAACCUACAUGUGUAGGAUAGGUGGGAGGCUUCGAAGCACAGUCGCUAGAUUGUGUGGAGCCGUCCUUGAAAUACCACCCUUGUAUGUUUGAUGUUCUAACAUUGGCCCCUUAUCGGGGUUGUGGACAGUGUCUGGUGGGUAGUUUGACUGGGGCGGUCUCCUCCCAAAUAGUAACGGAGGAGCACGAAGGUUAGCUAAUCACGGUCGGACAUCGUGAGGUUAGUGCAAUGGCAUAAGCUAGCUUAACUGCGAGACAGACACGUCGAGCAGGUACGAAAGUAGGUCAUAGUGAUCCGGUGGUUCUGUAUGGAAGGGCCAUCGCUCAACGGAUAAAAGGUACUCCGGGGAUAACAGGCUGAUACCGCCCAAGAGUUCAUAUCGACGGCGGUGUUUGGCACCUCGAUGUCGGCUCAUCACAUCCUGGGGCUGAAGUCGGUCCCAAGGGUAUGGCUGUUCGCCAUUUAAAGUGGUACGCGAGCUGGGUUUAGAACGUCGUGAGACAGUUCGGUCCCUAUCUGGUGUGGGCGUUGGAUGAUUGAUGGGAGCUGCUCCUAGUACGAGAGGACCGGAGUGGACGAACCGCUGGUGUUCGGGUUGUCAUGCCAAUGGCAUUGCCCGGUAGCUACGUUCGGGACGGAUAACCGCUGAAAGCAUCUAAGCGG
This 1296-nucleotide ribosomal RNA is filed under the name marine metagenome. RNAcentral's name for it is "bacterial LSU rRNA". It matches the Rfam family "Bacterial large subunit ribosomal RNA", at positions 1510 to 2788 of the family's 2925-position model. The record is from RNAcentral.